GGCCGCACCUGUGGCAUAGGGAGGUUCCCAGGCUAGGGGUCAAAUCAGAACUGCAGCUGCCAGCCCACACCAGAGCCACAGCAACAGAGGAUCCUAGCCAUGUCACGACUCACGGCAAUGCCAGAUCCUUAACCCACUGAGCGAGGCCAGGGAUCAAACCUCAUCCUCAUGGAUGCUAGUGGAGUUCAUUAACCCCUGAGCCAUGAUGGGAACUCCAGAGCCAGUGUACUUAAUUGCUAUUCUAUCCUCCUUUCCCAAACUUUACUUGAAGAAUUGUAUGUGUAUUCACAGUAUACCAAAUCAUUUCAUUGUUGCAUAAUCCUUAUGACUACCCAACCACAUGAGGUGGAAAGUGUUACUAUUGUUCCAUUUUACAGAUACAAAAAUGAGGCUCAGAGGGUAAAGCAACUUGCUCAACGUCACAUGACUAGCAGGUUCCAGAGCCAAGCUUCAAAAUCAGGUCCACCCCACUGCAUGGCUUAUGCUCUAAGACUACUUCUUCUGAAAAUUCUUUUAUAAAAAUAAGGAGCAAUCAGAUGAAAAAGUAACAAUGAACAAAGGAGAAGGACAAAAAUGCAGAUAUUCUGCUAGAGGGUUAGACUUGGAAGAGAGGAGCUCUUUGUCCCAUGGUCUCUGGGAGUGUUCAUGGCACAGAACCCUGAAUUGCCUGUCCACUUUGGAGCCCAACCCAUGGACUAGGAAAUUCCAACCUGCAUGCACAAGCACAGCCAUAAGCAUGCACACUUGUCACCGUAACAUGUGGCUUGUGCAGCCAUGUUUGGAUAUUCACAGGCACGUGCUAUAUCCAUGCCACAUACCUUGAAAUCCCAGCCCCUCGGGAAUACCUUGCGAAAGUCACCUUGUGGCAGGUGGUCCUCCACUACCCCAAAAGGCCGUCACCACAGGAUUAAACAACCUCUGUUGAAAAGUGUUUUCUAGUCAAAAGAGGUUUUAGCAGCUAAAGUGCAGGUAUAAAGGUCAGUUCCCCACUCAAGGGAUGGCCAAGCCAGGGGAAAGGACAGAAGUCUGGGGAGGGGCUGCCGGGAGGGGAAUGACAUUUGAAAGCAUGCAUCUCUUUAAGCUGCCUGCAGAGCUGCUGUGCUCAAGGGAAAGCCUGGAUCCCAGGAGACUUGGUCUUUUUGCAUUUACAUGAUAAGCCCCUCUGCACAAAGCAAGCAUCAACUAACCUGCAAGGAAAGGAAAACACAGAACAAACUCCUCCAAGGAAAGCACCCCAGGAAAGCACAGAGUGAACUCUUCCAAGAGCUGGGACAUCCAGGAGAAGGUCUCAAACCACCAGUGUGGACCCCUUCCAAGGCAUCUUUGACUCACACUGAACCCUGACAUCCCUGAGGAUACUUACAAGCCCAAAGAAACCUUGUUGCCUAGCUACUCCUGGACCACAGUGUAUUUGCAAGAUGGGGUGCAUAGAGAGGAGGCCCGGCCACUCCCAUCUGCUUGUUGAACUCCAGUUCCACAAGGCCCUGUCAACCAGGGCAGGACCCUAGGACCAUCCAGCCUCCCCAUCUCUCACACCCUCAGGCACACAGCCCUGCUGCUUCUGCCUUUUCAUUCUCUCCCAGGUCUGUCCUUUUCUCUCUGUCCCAACUGAUAGAGUCCUUGUCCAGACUUUACUCAGGCUCCUCAGAAUCCACUUUCCAACUACACCAUGACUUGCGGGUUCCUGCAUUCAUCUCUGCAUCAUCCUAUUUUAGCAAGAACUCUGCUACAUUUUAGCCUGAUCCCCCAGCCCCAAUUCUCAGUGUCUGAUGAUGCUUCAGCAAGAAUCCUGUUAGAUCAAUUUGGCCAGAAUCCCCCCUUACCCCUGGUGAUUUUUCCAUCCACUGAUCCCCACCUUGCUCCCUGGCUAUAAAUUUCCAUUUGUCUUGCUGUAUUUGGAAUUCUGCCCAGUUCUAUAGAGAGGUCUCUUUUCCCCUAUUGCAACAGUCUUGAAUAAAAUCUGCUCUUUCUACUUUAGCUACUGCCCAGCUCUGUUUUGGUUUGGUUUGAUUUGGUUUUUACAGAACCAUACAUACCCCUACUGCCCUUGGCCCUGCAGCAUCAUCUCUUGCAUGUACCCCCCAUGAGGAUCGCCCAGCAUUCAUUAUCUCAGAACCUACAAUCACUAUAGUUGUCCAGCACAAGUCAAAUCCUGCUACUGUGAUGCUUUAUGAUGUAACAUGACCCCCUUUGUCCACUAGAUAAACCCAGAAUCUUGACUUGAGCUUCAAGGUCCUUCACAACCCAGGACAAGCCAACUUACCUGGCAGUAUCUCCUGCCCAACCUCUUCAAACACUAUGAUCUCUAGCCACAUAAACACACCAUCUCCCAGAAUAGCCCGUGGUAUCCACUGCAGUAGAUAUCCUGAAUAUUACUGACUUCUUCCCAGGUUUUUAAUCCCUCCAUCUUAUAAACUUCUGGAAGAACUGGCAUAGAACAAGCACUGAGUGAAAUUUUAGAUCAUAGAGGUGGGUGAGUAGAUUAUGGAUGGAUGAGAAGUCUUUUACCAGCUAUUGUCAUUUUCAUCUGAUGCCUCUCUGGAAUACAAGCACCCUGAUCGGACAUUUUCAAACACAAAGGUUGCUUGGCCUCUACUUUUAUUUUUUUAAUUUUUAUUUAUUUUAUUUUAUUUUUUAAAUUUUCUUUGGUCUUUUUGCCAUUUCUUGGGCCGCUCUCACAGCAUAUGGAGGUUCCCAGGCUAGGGGUUGAAUCAGAGCUGCAGCCACCGGCCUAUGCCAGAGCCACAGCAAUGUGGGAUCAGAGCCACGUCUGCAACCUACACCACAGCCCAUGGCAACGUCGGAUCGUCAACCCACUGGGCAAGGCCAGGGAUCAAACCUGCAACCUCAUGGUUCCUAGUCAGAUUUGUUAACCACUGUGCCACGACAGGAACUCCAGACUCUACUUUUAAACUGAUGAAUAUGGAGUUCCCAUCAUGGCUCAGCAGUUAAUGAACCCGACUAGCAUCCAUGAUGACAAGGGUUCCAUCCCUGGCCUCGCUCAGUGGGUUAAAGAUCUGGCAUUGCCGUGAACCUUGGUGUAGGUCACAGACACAGCUUGGACCCUGCAUUGCUGUCGCUCUGGCGUAGGCCGGAGGCUACAGCUCCAACUGGACCCCUUGCCUGGGAACCUCCAUAUGCUGCAGGUGUAGCCCUAAGAAGACAAAAAUAAAUAAAUAAACGGAUGAAUAUGAAAGAUGAAAAUAACAAUACCUACAUUGUAGAGCAGUUGUGAGGAUUAAAUGAGAAAACAUACAGAAAGUAGUUAGCUUGGUCCUCAAUAUACAGUGCACAAUAAAGGGUAGCCAUUGUGGAUGGAAUCAGCUCCUAAGUAUAAGCCCCUUUGCUUUCCAAUGGACAGGACCCAGGUGCUCCAGCCUCUCCUAGUUUGGGUGAGACGAAUCUUUCUCCAAGGCUGGAGUGAAGGUAGAGGGCAGCCACAGAGGAAUUCCUGGCCUACUUUGUGCAAUUUUGGGCUCAGGCAAGGCCCCAGACAGUAAGUGAUACAAAGAGCACUCCAAGCCAGCUGCAGAUAAUGAGGCCCGGGGGACAGGCUGCCUGGGGUGGCUUUCUCCAGCAAGGACUGCUCGACCUAAAGGCCCAGGGCUUUCACUCAGCCUCUGGCAGUGCUCAUGGCUCAGGCCUCUGAAAGUUCCCAGGCAUGUUUCCUGUUCCAAAAGAAAAAGACAGAAAGGAAGGAAGGCAGGAAGGAAGAAAAGAAAAAAGGGAAGGCAACCUCUGACCUCCCAGGCUGGAGGGAAGCUCCUCUCCAAUACCCAACUGGAAAGUCAAAGAGAGUUAAGACAAUGCUUACUCACAUAACUCAAAGGCCCAUGUGUCCAAGCCAGUCCUCUAGCUCCUGCUAUCAUGAUUCUUAGGGUCCUCACAGGUCUCCCUGCAUCCAUACACUCCCCUCUAGCCCAUCUUCCACACAGCCCCGAGGGUGAGCAGCACACGCAUUGAGUCUCUCCUCCCCAGCCUACAGUCCAUUCAGUGGAGGGUCCCUAUUGCCUUCCAGAUAAAGUCCAAAUUCCUUGGUAUGGUGUUCAAGGCCCUCUUCAGAACCUUUCCAUCCUCUCACCCUGGCCCAUGUACUCUGCCUGCCAUUUCUGGAAUACACCAGUUUGCUCACACUUACAGGCAUCUGUGUAUGUUCUUCCCUCUGCCUGGAGUACCCCAAUCACUCAGCAAUGAAAUGGCGAAGCCAGGACUCCAGGCCUCUCCUUUUGAUUCUGAGUUCCACACUCCUUGGAUAGGAAGGGCUUGAGAACUCCAGAACAGCCCAGUUCCAUGGUGCUAAAAUGUCAGGGAAGACCGUUUCCAGUUCUCACACUCCAGAUGCUCUGGAUUUGCCCUCAUUAUAAAUCACCAUGUGACAUUGUGAGUACCUCAUUGGUCGGUAGUUACCCAAAUAAAGUCAGCACAGGCUACGAUCUGCAUCUCCAAGGGUCUGAAUGGCUCAGCUGUAAGCAGGAAGACAAGCUGACAUUUUCAAUUAACCUUGUUCUUACCCUGAGUCACUGUGCACUGCCUGACACACCCUCAUGGGACUGCAGAGGCAGGGGUCCAGGAGUGAGGGCAGACCAUGGCACCCCAAGUGCAAGGAAGCCCCUCUCCAACACCCAUUUGGUAAGACAUUGAGAAUUAAGACAAAGCUGCUCCACCCAACACAAAAAUUCUAGUCCCGGCUAGCCCUCUGGUCCCUACCACUCUGCUCACAGGAACCUCUCUGCAGCCUCAGCUCCCUCUGACAUAUUCUGGGGCACUUGGGCUAGGGACCUCUCUGUUUGCCAGGAGCAGGGCCUCUGAUGGCCUCCUGGUCAUGUGGCCAAAAUCCUCACUCCCUUCCAUCAAUAACAGCUCCACACAUCCAAACAGGUUUUGAAUUGCAAUACAUGUCAGGCACACAAGAGUAAAUACGUACACAGCUUAUCUCUUUUCCCAGCCCAACAAACUCUACUUUUGCAUGCUAAAUCUCCUAUUCAAG
This 4987-nucleotide long non-coding RNA is filed under the name Sus scrofa (pig). Its description in RNAcentral is "lncRNA (ENSSSCG00040047213.1)". Lineage: Eukaryota; Metazoa; Chordata; Mammalia; Artiodactyla; Suidae. The record is from RNAcentral.